Molecule: ribosomal RNA, 826 nt
Filed under: Salmonella enterica
Lineage: Bacteria; Pseudomonadati; Pseudomonadota; Gammaproteobacteria; Enterobacterales; Enterobacteriaceae
Description: partial 23S ribosomal RNA
Rfam family: Bacterial large subunit ribosomal RNA
Source: RNAcentral
UGUUUCGGCUAGGGGGCCAUCCCGGCUUACCAACCCGAUGCAAACUGCGAAUACCGGAGAAUGUUAUCACGGGAGACACACGGCGGGUGCUAACGUCCGUCGUGAAGAGGGAAACAACCCAGACCGCCAGCUAAGGUCCCAAAGUCAUGGUUAAGUGGGAAACGAUGUGGGAAGGCCCAGACAGCCAGGAUGUUGGCUUAGAAGCAGCCAUCAUUUAAAGAAAGCGUAAUAGCUCACUGGUCGAGUCGGCCUGCGCGGAAGAUGUAACGGGGCUAAACCAUGCACCGAAGCUGCGGCAGCGACACUGUGUGUUGUUGGGUAGGGGAGCGUUCUGUAAGCCUGUGAAGGUGGCCUGUGAGGGUUGCUGGAGGUAUCAGAAGUGCGAAUGCUGACAUAAGUAACGAUAAAGCGGGUGAAAAGCCCGCUCGCCGGAAGACCAAGGGUUCCUGUCCAACGUUAAUCGGGGCAGGGUGAGUCGACCCCUAAGGCGAGGCCGAAAGGCGUAGUCGAUGGGAAACGGGUUAAUAUUCCCGUACUUGGUGUUACUGCGAAGGGGGGACGGAGAAGGCUAUGUUGGCCGGGCGACGGUUGUCCCGGUUUAAGCGUGUAGGUGUGUGUUCCAGGUAAAUCCGGUUCACUUUAACACUGAGGCGUGACGACGAGGCACUACGGUGCUGAAGCAACAAAUGCCCUGCUUCCAGGAAAAGCCUCUAAGCAUCAGGUAACAUCAAAUCGUACCCCAAACCGACACAGGUGGUCAGGUAGAGAAUACCAAGGCGCUUGAGAGAACUCGGGUGAAGGAACUAGGCAAAAUGGUGCCGUAACU